GUGUGGCAUGUGCAGAUGAAGAAUGCAUUUCCCCUUUUCUGUGCGUUAGACAAAGCUUCCACUGAAUAGGUGUGUAGUCUGUAACUUGUAAUAAAAAGACAGGAUACUUUAUUAUGCCAGUGCUGUAAAUCCUUAUGAAAUUUGCUCACAUAAGGGCUUCACUG
This is a long non-coding RNA of Gavialis gangeticus (Gharial), 164 nucleotides long. RefSeq lists it as uncharacterized. The record is from RefSeq and is a predicted model, not a curated record. Lineage: Eukaryota; Metazoa; Chordata; Crocodylia; Gavialidae. The transcript is spliced from 3 exons.